This 253-nucleotide ribosomal RNA is filed under the name uncultured bacterium. RNAcentral's name for it is "partial 16S ribosomal RNA". It matches the Rfam family "Bacterial small subunit ribosomal RNA", at positions 524 to 776 of the family's 1533-position model. The record is from RNAcentral.
UACGUAGGGGGCAAGCGUUGUCCGGAUUUAUUGGGCGUAAAGAGCGUGUAGGCGGCUAGAUAGGUCCGUUGUGAAAACUCGAGGCUCAACCUCGAGACGUCGAUGGAAACCAUCUGGCUAGAGUCCGGAAGAGGAGAGUGGAAUUCCUGGUGUAGCGGUGAAAUGCGCAGAUAUCAGGAAGAACACCCGUGGCGAAGGCGGCUCUCUGGACCGAGACUGACGCUGAGGCGCGAAAGCGUGGGGAGCAAACAGG